ACAGCAGCCGCCGCGGUAAUACGGAGGGUGCAAGCGUUAAUCGGAAUUACUGGGCGUAAAGCGCACGCAGGCGGUCUGACAAGUCAGAUGUGAAAUCCCCGGGCUUAACCUGGGAACUGCAUUUGAAACUGUCAGGCUGGAGUCUUGUAGAGGGGGGUGGAAUUCCAGGUGUAGCGGUGAAAUGCGUAGAGAUCUGGAGGAAUACCGGUGGCGAAGGCGGCCCCCUGGACAAAGACUGACGCUCAGGUGCGAAAGCGUGGGGAGCAAACAGGAUUAGAUACCCGCGUAGUCCCUGUCUCUUAUAA
This 305-nucleotide ribosomal RNA is filed under the name uncultured bacterium. RNAcentral's name for it is "partial 16S ribosomal RNA". It matches the Rfam family "Bacterial small subunit ribosomal RNA", at positions 508 to 809 of the family's 1533-position model. The record is from RNAcentral.